AAAGAGAGCUGUCCGUCGACAGU
Molecule: non-coding RNA, 23 nt
Organism: Drosophila melanogaster (fruit fly)
Lineage: Eukaryota; Metazoa; Arthropoda; Insecta; Diptera; Drosophilidae
Source: Ensembl